Molecule: ribosomal RNA, 1427 nt
Filed under: Actinopyga lecanora
Lineage: Eukaryota; Metazoa; Echinodermata; Holothuroidea; Aspidochirotida; Holothuriidae
Description: 16S ribosomal RNA
Rfam family: Bacterial large subunit ribosomal RNA
Source: RNAcentral
UCUAUUAAUUCCCUUAUUUUAUUUAUUUAUAUAAAGAAAAGUUCUCACUAAAUAACCCCCCCAUUCUACCGAAACAAAUAAAUAAAAAAUUCAAACCAGUACCAAGAGGGAACUUUGAAAUAAAAUUAAAAUUAAAACCAAAAAAGGAGAAUCGUACCUUUUGUAUCAUGGUUACACAAGAAAAUAAGGAAAAUAAACCCAAACCCGAAAAAUAACGAGCUAACCUUUUCCACUUUCAAGGAGUAAUUAACCACUGUUGCAGUAGUGGAAAAAGAGAAAAGGUUAGAGGUUAAAUGCCACCCGCGUUAUUAGAUAGCUGGUUCUCGGGGAAAAAGAUUUAAGUCUUACGUUCAAAAGCUACCCAAACUUCCAAUUUAAAAAAAGGAAAUUCCUAGCACUGAACAGAAAGAGAACCGGAGAUAAGUUCCGAUCUCAAAGAGGAAACAACCUAAAGCAUAAAAAAGAUCAACCUAAAAAAGGAUUAACAACAAAAGUAGGCCUAAAAGCUGCCAACAUAAUAGAAAGCGUUAAAGCUCUAACUUUAAGAUCCUAAAAUAGCUGAGAAAAAUAUAACUUUUGUUUUAGGGGUACCCGAGAUAAAUAAUGUUUAAACAAGUAAGAACCUAAUCUAAGCUCAUUCUGCAGUGGAAAUACAAAUAUUAUAAACCCAGAAAGAGAAAAAUCAUCAAGAACUUCUCUCUCUAAUCUCCCCCCAACCCAGGAGCAGAAACAUAGAUAAAAGAAUAGCAGGGAAGGAACUCGGCAAAAUAAAGGAAGGACUGUUUACCAAAAACAUAGCCCCCUGAAGAAAUAUGGGGUUUAUCCUGCCCAGUGGUCAAAGACUAAACGGCCGCGGUAUCUUGACCGUGCAAAGGUAGCAUAAUCACUUGUCUUUUAAAUGAAGACUUGUAUGAACGGAAUAACCUUUCUUAACUGUCUCCCUUGUUUUCCUCUAAAACUCCUAUUCAGGUGAAGAAUCCUGAAUAAUACAGAAAGACGAGAAGACCCUGUCGAGCUUCAGCUGAAUAGGAGUUUUAGCAUUACUUUAUCAUCCUCUUAUAGCUUUGGUUGGGGCAACCACGGAGAAAAAGAAUCCUCCGGGAAUCGUAGAAGACUAUACCCUUCUCCACAUACAAAAGAAGAACCAGAAUCUGGUAAACGGAAAAAGUUACCGCAGGGAUAACAGCGUUAUCUCCUCUAAGAGUCCAUAUUGACGAGGAGGCUUGCGACCUCGAUGUUGGAUUGGGGUAUCCCCAGGGUGCAGAAGCUCUGAAAGGUCGGACUGUUCGUCCGUUAAAACCCUACAUGAUCUGAGUUCAGACCGACGCGAGUCAGGUCAGUUUCUAUCUUCUAGUUAGAGCCCUUCUAGUACGAAAGGACCGAGAGGCCCCUUUAAAUGGACAUCUCCAAAAAGGCAAGAAAAAAUU